GAGUUUGAUCCUGGCUCAGGAUGAACGCUGGCGGAAUGCCUAAUACAUGCAAGUCGAGCGGCAGCGCGAGUAGUUUACUACUUGGCGGCGAGCGGCGGACGGCUGAGUAACGCGUGGGAACGUACCCCAAAGUGAGGAGUAACUGCCCGAAAGGGUAGCUAAUGCCGCAUAUGAUCUUCGGAUUAAAGGAUUUAUCCGCUUUGGGAGCGGCCCGCGUACGAUUAGAUAGUUGGUGAGGUAAAGGCUCACCAAGUCAACGAUCGUUAACUGAUCUGAGAGGAUGAUCAGUCAGACUGGAACUGAGACACGGUCCAGACUCCUACGGGAGGCAGCAGUAAGGAAUCUUCCACAAUGGACGAAAGUCUGAUGGAGCAAUUCCGCGUGCAGGAUGAAGGCCUUAGGGUUGUAAACUGCUUUUAUUUGUGAAGAAUAUGACGGUAACAAAUGAAUAAGGGUCGGCUAACUACGUGCCAGCAGCCGCGGUCAUACGUAGGACCCAAGCGUUAUCCGGAGUGACUGGGCGUAAAGAGUUGCGUAGGUGGUCAGUAAAGUGAAUAGUGAAAUCUGGGGGCUCAACCUCCAGGCUAUUAUUCAAACUCACUGACUCGAGAAUGAUAGAGGUAACUGGAAUUUCUUGUGUAGGAGUGAAAAUCCGUAGAUAUAAGAAGGAACACCAAUGCCGUA
This 684-nucleotide ribosomal RNA is filed under the name uncultured bacterium. RNAcentral describes it as "bacterial SSU rRNA". It matches the Rfam family "Bacterial small subunit ribosomal RNA", at positions 9 to 719 of the family's 1533-position model. The record is from RNAcentral.